This 447-nucleotide ribosomal RNA is filed under the name uncultured bacterium. RNAcentral describes it as "SSU rRNA". It matches the Rfam family "Bacterial small subunit ribosomal RNA", at positions 26 to 518 of the family's 1533-position model. The record is from RNAcentral.
AGGAUGAACGCUGGCGGUCUGCUUAACACAUGCAAGUCGAACGGAGUAGCAAUACUUAGUGGCGGACGGGUGAGUAACGCGUGAGAAUCUACCUUCAGGACGGAGACAACAGUUGGAAACGACUGCUAACCCCCGAUGUACUGAAAAGGCAAAUAUUUAUAGCCUGAAGAAGAGCUCGCGUCCGAUUAGCUAGUUGGAGAGGUAAAAGCUCACCAAGGCGACGAUCGGUAGCUGGUCUGAGAGGACGAUCAGCCACACUGGGACUGAGACACGGCCCAGACUCCUACGGGAGGCAGCAGUGGGAAUUUUCCGCAAUGGGCGAAAGCCUGACGGAGCAAGACCGCGUGGGGGAAGAAGGCUCUUGGGUUGUAAACCCCUUUUCUCCUGGGAAGACACAAUGACGGUACCAGAGGAAUCAGCAUCGGCUAACUCCGUGCCAGCAGCCGC